CUUAGAUAAGUUUACUGUUAGCGCACACUUCCCUCAGUUAGCAAGCUGCAACACCCACUGAGGCUGAGGACUGCAGGGAGAGACGGAGGUACUUGGGGGGUAAGAUCAGUUUUCCGAUGCUUACUGGUUAAUCGUUACGCCUGUGCUGCUGGCGAAGUGAACAAUCUGUCAGUAAGUGACUGGUAAUGCUUUUAAUUGUACCAUUGUAGUACUUACAGAUACGUACAUGUAGUUUAAAAAGACAGUAGAAGUAAAAGUUGUCGUAGUUAAAAAUAGUAUAAAUUCUUUAAGUUCUCAGAUUUUAACCAUCUUAUUUCCUAUCUUCACAUCUUGGUCCCUUGUACCUACAUGUAUGUAUCGGCUUUCCUGUACUGGUAUACUGUCUGUACAAAAUAAUUAUAUCUGACAUUACUUCACUCGGUGUGCCUCCACUAUAAAACACUGCGGGAAAUCUUGGUCUUAUUUUUACCACUUCAGAAGACAAAUCCUGUUCAGUAUAUACGUAAGAUAUGCACCUCAUAGGACCCUACAGUGUUUAGUUUGAAACUCCAUUGUAUGUGUCUUUCUUUAAGGCAAGUUAAUCUUAAUCAUAACUGCCUUAUUAUUGGCAGAAAGGUUAAGGUCGAAUUAAAUGAAACAGCAGGAAUAAUGUGUUUUGUGUCACGAAUGAUUGUGUUCUUUUUCUUUGAUGUACUUUGAAUGUCUGUAACUGCUGAUAGACUGGGAAAAGACAAUGUUGUGAAUGGAAAGGACCUUGACCCACUUUAAACAACAAAGCCGUGCCGUGGGAAAUGAGUGAAGGAUAAUUUAAAAUAGAGGUGAGAUGAAAGAAAAACACCCAAAAGCGAACAAUGCUUGUAUUUUCUUAGUUUUUGCCUAUUUGAGGGCCUUGCCAACAAGUAGUGUACUGUUCACUACAGUGGAAAAAAUCCUAAUGAUGACUACACUUAAGUGUGAAGAGCUUAUUGAGUUUUCCCUAGGAAGCCUCCCCAGUGCAUCGUUUGGAGCUGUGCUGUAGGCAGUGACUGCAGAGACUCCAAUUACUGACCAAGUCCCACUUGGCUGGCUUCUAACUGUGACCAGCAAAUUAGAAAGAGAGAGAGAGGAGAGAGAGAGAGAGAGAAAGAGAAAGGGAUUGAAAAAGCAUUUAAAAGGCAAGACGAAAGUUUUGGUUGCAGUGCGAUACUAGCCUACAGGAAGCCAAAAAAGACAAACGUCAAGCAGAGUUUAACAAGUGCAUUGCCUGAGCGGAGGGAGAGAUAGGCAGCUCUUUGUUCAUGAGUUGGACACGCUCCAAACGCCUGCUUCAUAGGAUGUUCUUCGAUAAUCCAGCAGUGAGCAGCUGAUUUAUGACCUGCAUUAAUGUUCUGACUGAACUUCCUGAACAGAAUCUUAAACUAUAACCAAACCACAUGGAGCGGAGGAAAAAUAACAUCUAACAAAAAUAGAUGUAAUUUUCUCUUCCCACAUGAAUGGGAAUUGUGUGAGUAACACCUGUGGCUUUAAUUUAUAAUUAAUAUGUAUAUAUAUAUAUAUGUGUGUGUUUUUGGUUUUGUAUUGGAAUUGUAAUUACCAAGAAGAAGAAUUUAAAUGACUAACCAACCCUUAGUCAUAACAGCAGGAAGUCAGUGUGAGGUUUCACUCAUAGACUACGUGCAGAUAAGUGCAUGGUGUGGUUCUGGGCCAAAAGUGAGGAACUGGUGUGAUAAUACUUCCCAUCUUUGAAACCCUUCAUACGUUUGCAACAUGUAGGAGUCUCAGCGUUGCAGUAAGGCAUUAAACUACAGUUCUGAUGAAAAAUGGGGCGAAAAAAUGAUUCAACGCCUGCAAACAAAACCAAUUAUCUCGAGGUUCACGGGCCAAGAGCAGCUGCCUGUUGUAAAAGAAAACAGAGGUCCGUCAUCUUUUUUCUGUGUCUCUGAGCACUUUCAAGGGAUCCCAGGCACUUUCAGCCCAUAACUUAUUUCUGUUCCUCUACUGUUUUGACGUGAUAUCGUGUUUCCCAAGACAGGAGCUUGUACACUCGGGAGGGGAGAUGGAUAAGAGUGGAUGUGCCACGUUUUGACAUUGAAGUAAGAUUACUCUGUUCCCUCCAAGCAGACACACAUUAAACAAGUGGGAGAUCAGGGAAGCAGAACGGCAGAUGAGAAGUAGCUGUGCGUGUGUGCACUUCCACAUGGGGCUUAAGAGGCAGCAAGGACAGCUGGUUCACUCAUCACUACUUUGCUGUGUCCUGGGCCUUUCAAAAUCCCCAGGGACAGAUUGUUUCUACUGGAGAACUGUACAGUGACUAUGGGCAAUACAAUUUUCUAAUGUACCUCAAUGUGUUUUCUGAUGGUGUAAUUAAGAACAGAGCAUUAGCCUGAAAAAUAAAAUGAAACACAACACAAGUCAUUCAUUAUAAAGUAAUAAAAACAUACCUGUGAACAUUAUAAUACAUUCCUGCUAAUAGAUCCUCUUAAAUGUCACCCACUGGACGUUUAAAUAUGUUCACGCUAAAAGAUUGAUGCUAAAGCAGCGAGACACAGGCAGAAAGUCACUGUAUUUGUCAGUUAAUGAUGUGGAAAACGUGGAAAUACAGUAUUGUUCUUGUAUUUUAGUGUACAGCUAGUUGUAAUAAAAGUAGUGUGUUGUCACUUUUAACAUGAAAAUAGAAAAGGCUUUUAAGAUGAAGACUACUCGUUGUUGGGUAGUUAACCUUGGCUGUAAACUUCCCCAAAUCAAAUAGAAAGCAGGACUGUUAAUUUCAAUCUUAUAAUUCAAAAAUAGUAUUUUUUAUUGUCUGCAACUUGCUGUAAAUAGUCAGAUACAGUAACAAGCACAUGUGGACCGAGCUGUACCUUUUACAGGCUUAUUGAAAUAAUAAACACCAUAAUUGGUAUUCCUGGUCCUGUGAAUAUACAUUUGGCAAAAUUCCCCAAAUGUUUCAUCAAAAUUUCAGCCUUAACGUCUGUCAUUGGCAUUUGCGUCUGAUUACCCAGCAGGUAAAGUUUCAUGUAAGCAAAGCUAUCUAUCUAACAGUGAAUCUGAGCUGUUCUUUGGAGGGAUGACAUACUUGUGCUCAUUCCAAACUUUGCACAAUACAAGAGCUGCAGUUUUUCACUCCCACGUGAUUUGGUGACACUUUGAUGAAUCUUUUGUCAUCUCACCGUAUAUGUUUCACUCUCCUUAAAAGGUUUAAACUAGUGUUUACCUUUUCUGUUGCAGGGAGGUCUACAAUUCCCAUGUUUUUUGUGGAAAUGAUAAGUUAGGAAGAGUAUCUUUGCUUUUAUGAGGUUGAAGGAGUAAAGUAAAUAGAGAUAUUUUCCUCAAUGUCUGCAACUUAGAAAUUAAAUUCUUGCUGCGAGCCAUGUGUGCAUUGAGAAUAUACUGUAGGCAUUUUAAAAGAAUCUCUCCAAGGUUUGUAACAUAUUGAAUCCCUGAUUUGAGGAGACACUGCAGGUAAAGCAGAAAAGUUUGACUGUCUGUUGUCAGUGCACCUCUCCUAGAGAUGAAAACAUCCUAUUGGCUUCUCACGCAUGGCUAACUCAGACCCAUCACAACAAAUCUGUCUCUCUGGGCCUUUGUGUGUGUGUGUGUGUGUGUGUGUGUGUGUGUGUGUGUGUGAGAGAGAGAGAGAGAGAGAGAGAGAGAGAGAGAGAGAGAGAGAGAGAGAGAUGGUGUGGCAGGCAAGGGAGUGAUGGACUAGAAGUGACAUACGACCCCUGAAGCAGCCAAGGAUUAAUGGCCUCAAUAGGCGAGCUCCUCAAGAAGGAUGUGGACGGGUAAUAAGGACUUCCACCAGCCACAGUGCAUCCAUCCAUCUGCCCUUCCGGAUCCACGCUCUCCUGCAGCUGGAGCUUCCAGAUGUGGAGCCACCUGUGGAAAAAGGGACACUGUUUUCCUGCCACAGAGGCAGAGAUUCCUCAGUAAAAUAACUCUUGACUUGAUACUCUUCUGAUGUUUUGUGUACAGGGGAACAACAUUUUUGAGUCAAGGGCACCUUUGGUGGUCUGAGUUUGAGAGGGUUUUCAGGUGAGGACAGCGUCACCGGUGGUGUGACAGUUUACACUGUGGCUGGGGAGGCGAGAGAUAUAAGACACUGCAGGGACUCCAGUCAAGGUCCAUAGGAAAAUGAAACAUGGAAAAUGUCACUGGGGUAUUCUGACAUUUUGCACUUUGAGCGAGUCUGAAAAGGUUCAAACACCAACUGAGAAGUGAAAGCGGCAGCUAUGAAUAUGAGUCACCUGCAUGAGAAGACAUGUUACACUCCUUUUACCCUUUCAGAGGUGUUAAUAUAUAAAUGGAAACUAGAAAUAUUUUAAUCUAUUUUAACUGGUGGAAUAAAAUGUUUAAAAAAGUGGGUGAUAGGGCACUGAGUGAAAUUUAAAAAAAAUAGAGUUGUUUAUAAUUAUGACUGCUAUGUGAUUUGUUUGAUUUUUACCAAAAGUGAAGUGAGGAACUUUUCGAAACUCCCUCAUUUCUCAAUGUGAGUCAUUGUGCUUGCGUUGCGUGUACAGUAUCUGCUCAAUAAUCAGAGAACUUCUGAGUAAUACUUACAACUCUUUGUGUUAUCUAAAGGCAUGUUUUAGUCAGUUUAGCCAAAAUACAAAAACAUCAAAUGUUCCUACUUACUCAUAUUGGUGUGUACUCAUACAGGCUGAUAGCUUUCACUUCUGAGACCUCUGCCAUCAACCUAAUGCAGUGGAGGUAAAUGGAGUUCAAUUUGCUCAAAGCUUAGAAAAAGGACAUUUGAAAAAAAGGAAUGAAAAGCAUUCUGGACCUCAAGAAUAGUAGUCUGUCAAAACAAUUUCAACUUAAAGUACACUUACUGUCUUUUUCUGGGUUUCUAUCCUCCUCGUUGGCUUAAGGAACUUAACUGUUAUGACAUCGUAUCAGCGACUGAGCUCAAAUGUCAACAGAGUAAUCUCCAUGACAACUUAGCAAAUUCCAUCCGCAGGUGAAGACCAUGUGAUACAAUCGAAAAAAGUCUGUAAAGGGGCGAGUAAGUAGACCUUGAGUUGGAUCCAGAGAAUGUUGUCCUCACCAUGAACUGUUUUUAUUUCCUGUUUAUUUGGUAGAAAAUAAUUCCAUUGAAAAUCCUUUUGUGAUCUGGGUUAAACUGACCAGUUAAUGUACUACUAACAGGUUUAUUGAAGCAAUAAUUCUGGGUUAUUACAAAUUGGGUCUUAUAUUUGUAGUUUUGACAGUUAUUCAGUAGUUGGUAGAGAUAACAGUUUAAUAUAUUUGCUGGGAUGUGGGAAUGCAGCACAAAUAGACUAUGGACAUCCAUCACAGUUUACAGACUGAGCUCCUGGUUCAACUCUGACCUAGUAUACUUGCCUCCUUUGUAAUGACAGUUCAGGUGUGCUCCCUUUACCUCCACAGUAUUUUAGAUAAUAUGGAUAAAUUGUGACAUUCUUUGCAACCUGUAUGAUGACCCAAAUCUGAGGAAUUACUUUGGUGAGUAUGAUGUUAUCAUAGACAACAGAAAUAAUGUCUAGAAUUACAAUAUUAUGGACAUUGCCAUUUCACUUUUCUUUCUCACAAUGCUUUGAGUUUGCCUGUUGCCUCUGUGGCCUCAGACAGAAAUCACAGAUGAAAGUGCUGCCAUAGGACAUCAAGAGGGCCAGGAGGCAAAACACCUGCUGUCACCAUCUCCCACUCUCAAAACCAGCAUGAAUACACAAGGUCAAAUAGCGGCACUUCACAUCCCAAUCUAUUAGAUUUUCAGAUGCUCUGCUUUUCACCGAGAUCCAAUCACUUCCUGCCAACCAGAUUAAUGCUGGAGGGGGUGGCGAGAGGAAGGCUAGCAGGCUGAUAUUAAAAAGGACCCAUGCUGCUGACAAGUCUUUGAACAGGAGUGAGCGACACAUUCAGGAGAGAUUGUUUCUGCUCUGAAGAAAAUCUGACAGAGAAAUUGUCCUUGUGACUGCAGGUUUUGGAGCCACCGUAGGUUUUUCUUCACGACUGGAAGACUGAGCUGUAUUCAGAUUGUUGCAAUCUGUAACUUCACCACUAGAUGCCACUGAAUCCUACACAAUGGUCCUUUAAGCACAGUCUAUCCAGAUUAAUUCUGAAUGUUGUAUUUAGUGAACUCGUGCCACAUUUUAUUUCUUGGUGUGAAAGGUGCUACAGAAGUGUAACUGCUUAAUAUAUUGAACAGGACAAAGUUUCUCUCAAAACACCUUCUUUUGGGCUUUGGAAAUGUAAUUGCGUUCAUUUACUUUUGACUACUUGGGAGGAGGAGGAACAAACAUUUUUACCUUAUAAAGUUAAUAUGGCAAACUUAAUAGCAGUUGCCUAUUUAACCACCCAGCAAAUAUAGAGCAAAUUUAUCAUUCAUUUAUGACUGUGUUUUUGGCUACCUGAUGAAUGUAAGCCCAAUAUUAAGUUUCAUUUUAGAUCUCUUUUGAUUAUGUUUGGUGCUGGCAGGUAGUGUACACAGGGUUUUUAUGAGUUUGUAAUUAAAAACAGCUGCCCACUGGCUGAAAAUGCUGCUGAUGAGAGCUAAUAAUAAUCCAAAACAGUAAAUUUGUGGAUCAUAAAAUCAAAACAGUGAGCUGACAGCCAGGUGAUAAUACUCUGUGGGUUCAUCACUAAAAUCUUAUUAAUCAUUUGAUCCACUGUUCAUAACAUUUGAUAAGUGCAGCUGUGAAAGUGAAGCCAGUCAUUGACUUUGUUUUGAGGAAUCACGUGCAGUUAGCUGGUAACAUUGUAAAUUCAACACAUAUAUUAAAUAUCCUCAUAUAUAAAAAUGCUUUUUAUUAUGUGCAUUAAACUUUCCAGCCUUUGCCUGUUUUGGGCAACUUGAGCCUGAACUGUAGCUCCAUUAUCAAAUGUCAGCUUUGUGCUGGUAUAAAGAGGCUUAUUUUGUUUUAAAUCAGUAUUAGUACAUUAUGUUCCCUUUGUAAUCUUUUUCUAAUCUAAAGUAUUUCAGCAUUUACAAUUGGUCUUAAUCCUGGGACCAAUUGAUCCCUCUUAAUUAGUUAAUUGUCUAAUUGUUUAAAUCCAGACACCGAAUAAGGAGACUUGUCUUCCUAUUCCAGCUCUUGGAGAGCUCACGUGGGGUCUGGCUCACUGGUCAUCUGCCCCGUCGUCCUAAACCCAAAACAACGCCCACCUAUCAGACCCGCCUGGGCCACUUAAACAACCUCAAGCAAACGGACUCAUUGUAAAAUGGAAGCGUAUGUUUGGCUAAUGGGGCUCAGCUGUCCAGUCAGUUUCACUCAUGUAUAUCUCCUAAUCUGGUGGUGGCUCUGCGAGGAUAAGGGGGGGAUUUCAGAGGCGAUACAAACACACAGAUAGCAGCAAAGAGCACGGUGGAGGCCUGGCCCAGGAUGUCAGUGUUCAGGGUGGGUGACAGUGUUAUUCCCUGCCAUCUGUUUCCCAGGCGGCGGUCCAGCAGUGCUAUGUUGAAUGCACAGGCAUGAGGGAGUAAGGAGCAGCCCACCAUGCCUCUCUAUUGGCAUUGCAGUAUUUCAUAUUAACAUAGCAGAGUGGCCGGCCUCCCAUGCCUGUUUGUAGGGGCGAAUGGGUUCGGUUCAGGCUACACACAGAUAUGUAAAAAAAAGAGCUCUCUUACACUCAGACUGCCCAUCUGUCUAUUGUCUGUCUGUUUUUCAUGUCGGUGGCACUCUCUCAACUCAAAGAAAAAGGACUGGCACAAUCACAAUUUUCACCACAUUGCUUUGCUAUAAAGUUACAAAAUGCAGACAGAGUGCAGAAAAGAGAGGUUAUUGAAUAAGUGCAAGUACAAUUGUUUGUUUUCUCUCUGCGUUUUGUCUUGAAAAAACUGUCGGCCCGUGUGAAUUUCCCAAGAAAAAAAGCCACUUUAACUCUCCUUUAUGAAGACGAGAGGGACGGUAAGCGCCAGUGUUUGGUGACACGACAAAUGCCGUAAAUGGCAUAUCGUUUUCUGUGUGGGUAUGUUACCCAAACAACAAAGGAAUGUUAUGAGAGCAGUGGGGUCUCAUCGCUCAACCUUUUAUGAGAAGAACUCACAAAGGCCUGAAUCACUCUUCCUCUCUGUCUCUGCUGUCACCCUCAGGAAAAGUGAGCACGCCGUAAAUCACCUUGGCAGCUCUGUGUUUUGAAGCAGCAGACUGCCUGUAGCCAGUGUCAUUUUAUAGGUUGUUAUUUCACUCCAUGUUGUAGACAGAAGGGCUCUAAAAUCAUGUUGCUUUAAAUGCUGAUGUGUUUGCUUACCGAGUGGUGAAUCAAACUAGAGAUGAAUGGAGGGACAUCCACAGAAAGACAGCCCAAAGUUCGUGGGGGAACCUCAGUCCAACCUUUGUCCAGAAUCUGAAUCUCAAAGAAUUCAGCUAAUUCUUUUAGUAUGGAAAGUGGAGGCUUUAUUGCAUUCUUUUGAGGACGUGAACCUGAACGUAUAAGUGUUAACUUGCACUUACAUGUGCGCUUUACAUACAAUGAAUUACUUUAUGUGAGGGCUCAUGGGGGAGGUUUAGAGAGAAAACCACGGAGGGUUUUUGGUUUGGACCAUUCCUGCAGAGAUCUGGGCCAUGUUCUGGAUGUCAAAGUUCAAUGAUAAAGAAACUGAAAGUAAUUACCUCACUUUGAGUAAAACAGGAUUUUCAGCUCCAGAGACUUUGUUUCUAUUUCUUUCACAUGUGCAUGUUAAGCUUUUCUGUUUGAUUUUAUCCCAAAACAUUUAGACACCAAGGUGACGUGUCAUAACUGUGUUCAUGCUUGCAUGCACAAGUCUGCACCAAUCCCAAAACAGGCUGUUCAUAAGCUCCAGAGAGAGAGAGCGGGAUUAUUUCUCCCUGAUGCCCUUUGUUUGAAGAAAAAGGUGUUGACUGACAGCUGAGCUCCUGGACCCUACUCAGCCAGGGUUCAAUGCGGAUGCCUGGCUAAUGAGGUUGACUAUGGGGAUUAUAAUCAGACAGGGAAUAUUAGCAUUCUCGUGUGUCAGUCAAGCCGGGAAAACCUCCCAGUGUUGCAGUGUCAAAGUGGGCUUUUCAGCUUCCGAUCGGUUCAUAUUUACCAUACAACAACACAGAGCCAUGUCACAGCGUCCCCAGGGCGGCUUUUUAAGACAUGGCAGUUAAUGGGAGAAGGAGUUAUGGUGGGAAAUCUCACCAUGGGUCCAAUUCGAAGGCCCCAGUGGACACAGAGGGCACUCCAAAACAGACAAAUUAUCUCCUGUCGGCUUUUUGGCAGUAAAAUGUGCUUGUUUUAACCUUGCAGUAUUUAACCUCUCAAUAAUCAUUCAGCGAAAGGUAGACUUCAAGCUGGGACUGAAUCCCCGCUUUGCACAGAAAAGUAUUAAUGGGCAUCACGUUUGACCCUCUCCAACCUCGGCGACACUAACCUCUCCCUCCAUGCUCAGGCCAUCUGAAAGAGCAAAACAGAGAAAGAGAUGAGAGAUGGAAAGAAAAACAUUUAAAAAAAAGAACCGACUCACAAGAGCGAUGUGACAUAUGGAAGCCAUCACAGGCCUGGACUCCCAUCUGUGUCUGCAGUCGUGGCCUGCUGGCACCCACUAGUCACAGCGCAGGAUGGGAAUAAUCCAGGACAGAGGAAUUGUGAUAAGAGGAGUCUGAAUCCCUUUAGGACAAGAUUUCAGCUUUGGGGGAGGGGUGAGAUGGGCUGCAAGUGGAGGGUGUUAUUGUGAGGUGCAAAAGCUCACUGGCGUUUGCAGAAAACAGGUGCCCGACAGCUCAGUGGGGUUCAGAUGGGUUUAGUCGGGCUCAGUUUCUCACGUUUCUGCCUGCAACAAAUUCCCUAAACACGGCUGAAACUGCAACGCUACCACUUCCUUGUUCCACAUCAGCUUGUAAAAAACUGUAAAUGAAAGCGACACAUUCCUUCGCCAUGGAAUUUAAACAGUUUGUAGUCUGGAGCAAAUGUGCGUUUCCUGCUCUGCAGUCGCCGAGAUACAUUUGAUUUUUUUCUGUUUGAUUUCUGUUUGGAUUGCAGUGGCAGUUUUUUGGCUAACUGGAAUAAAACUAAAUGAAAGGCAUAAUUGGAAAAGGAAAUGGGCUUCUCAUCUUAAUUUACAUGUUUGCAUUGUCGAAUUCGCCUAAAGGAACGAAUUUAAAGUGUGUUAUUGUAAGCCCCAGAGUUGAACGGAGAGGUAAUUUAGGAGCCUCCUGACCACAUCCAUUGAAGCUGCGUAUCCUGGUUCACUGCAGAUCUAAUCAGCAAGUUGAAUGAUAUUUGCUCCCUCCAGUCAUGUUCUAUUUUGUUCACACUCUAAAAAUGGCAUCAUAUGCAAACAAUAGAAGCUCUUUAAUCAAUCAAGUUAAGAUAAACAAUUUAGGUAGCUGAUAUUUAAUUAGGCAUCAACAAAUGUUGUUUUUGAGGUAAUGAGGUAAUUGGUUUUGAGGUUUUAUAAAUCCUGCUGACCCGAACGUCUUCUCCUUUGCUAGACCUUACUCACUAGCACAGUGCAAGUUUUUUGUCAGUGAAAAAUUUAUUGUAAAACAGUAAAUUUUUUAUCAGCCCUUUUCACAGGACCCCUGAUGGUAGGCAGAGGCUGUAUCAAUCUGAGAGUGAAUGCCCCUCAGCAUUUUCAGGGGCAUGCAUCUCAUGCACAUGCAACCCACUCACACACUGAAUUUACAACUUCACAACAUUCAAGGAGCUACAAACACCAGCAUCUUGUUAUCUUUUAGUAAAACAAAUGAGGCCUAUACUUUGAAUUUCAAGAAACAGAAUAAAUGCAACAUCUAAUCUUGUGUGAAGGCGGUCAGGUCUCUCAGGUCCUCCACCCUGUGCAGCUCAGCGCUGCCCCGAGGCCACAGAGGGCAGGACCCUUCAGAUUUAACACCUCACACACACGAACACAUGGGAUUUAUUAGUGAUCAAGCCCAUGUGGCUGCACAAAGACACAAAGUCUUAGCCUUUGUCUUGAACAGAGUAAAAAGUUGUAACUCUGUUUCUUUUUUUUCUGCUUUACCUGCAUUUCAUCUGCCUCCUUGCUGCUCGUCCAUCUUCAGUGUUCUUGUGGGGAACAGGGGGAGUCUUUUCAAGCUUGACUAAUGUGGUUCAGAUAGCGUGCAGGAUGACGAUGGGGGAGCACCUCAAUCUGGGCCAUACCUUGUUUGUUGUGGCGGCUUUACCUCAGCCGAUGCUACUCUCCUUUUUUCACUCCUCAUCGCUGCUCCGCUUCAGCGAUUCAGUCAAAUGAAAGAACAGCUGCCUGACCUCUUUUCAGCCUGGUUGCUGUGGUCUGGAUCCUCAGGACAGAGCGUCAUGUCGAGGCCAUCUCCAACAGGAUGUAGGCCUCGUCAUGGCUGCGGUCAACAAGACUCGCCUCAUCUCCUGGCCGCUUGCUGCAAUCAAGCGCCUCUCUUAUCAUUAGGAAGUAUUUCUGCAGGAGAUAUUUUUUUGUUUGUUUGCUGUUUUUAAACAUGUUCAUUUCCUCCAGUGCAAACAAUAAGACAACAUCCUCGGAUGGGGAGGGGAGCGUGCCAGUGCUGUGUGCAGCUGGAGGUGACACAGCAUGCUGUGGUACAGUAAUGGAGUCAUCCAUCAACAGGCCCCAUUAAAACACCUUGACAAGCCAGCUGAGGCCACUCCAGUGACCAUGGUGACCAGUCUAAAGGUUGAUGUUUCUUCUCAAACAGUGGCUGCAGAAAUAGCGCAAAGAUAACAACACUGACAUGGAUCUAUUCAUUUGUUUGCAGUGUUUAUUAGUGUUUAUUUGAAUUUGUUCACUGAGUAAGCUGCUCAUGUACAGUAGCUGCAGUAUAAGUAAGUGAACUCACAAAGUGUAAAGUAAAUUAUCAUGUGAUUGGAGAACUUGCAGAUUAUUUUAUUUUAUAUGUUGACAUACACAGAAAUGACUUUUUUGCAAAUAUUACCCUAAUGAUUCACUGAUAUAUUGAAAAUAUUGAUCAGCCUUUCUGUCUCUUUUUUCUCCAUAUUUGCAUCACACAUUUUCAGUUUGCAGAACAAUGUUUGUUACACUAAGGACAAUAAAUGGGAUGGCUACAUAAGUGUUCUGGUACAAUUAAUCUGAUAUGCAUGUGUAGCCACGUUUCUCUUUAUCUUUCCAAACACAACUAAUAUGACAGUUUUUUGAUCUGAUAAGGUCUGGUUGAGUUCUAGCAACUAAAACUAUUAGUUAGCAACAGAUCAUGGUUAAGGUUAACAUUGUCAUAAUGGUUAGAAGAGACCAAUGUUGACUGUUCAUAAAAAAUACGUUCCAGUAUGUAGCAUUUAAUGGCAUCUAGUUUUGAAGUUGUAGAUUGCAUCUAACUGAACACCACUCAUGUCUGUAUUGGAAGACCUGGGAAUCAGAACGGGCUCUGGAGUGUGUAAGAGAGUGUGGCUGUGAAAGGCCCUAUCUAGAGCCAGUGUUUGGUUUCUCUGUUCUGGGUUACUGUACAAAUGUCUCAUUAUACACUAAUGAAAACACACCUAUGAAUAUUAUAUUCCAUUUUUGCCAAUAGAUUCUCCUAAAUGUUAUACACUGGACCUUUAAGAAUUUACGUUCAUAACUAAUUACGUUAAUUAUGAACAAAUAAGUUACCCUGACUUGCUUAUCAAGCCCUUCUGGCCAAAUGUCAGUCCAGUAUACACCUUUUAGCUCUGCUCUGGUCUACUCCUGACAAAUGUCUUGGUCUUUAAGUUUGCUUAAUGUUUAGCUUUAUACAGCAGCUACUGGGUAGGUUGUGUACAGUACAACAAUCACUUUGUAUUAACUUGGGUGUUGGGAGCAGUGGUUUUAUAUGAACUAACAUUAAACAGUGCAGUCUACUCAAAAGUCUGUAUGUUUUGCCAGUUUAGACAAAUGUCUUUUGUUAAAGAAUCGUCCGUACCGUUGAACCUUGCAUCUGAUAAAAACAGACAUGUGUUUAUACUUUAUUUACAACCCAGAAGGUUAACAAUCGUGUGUCUUGGGAAGAAAAAUAAAAUCACAAAUCAAAUGAUUAUAUUUGAAGAACUUGCAUGUGUUGUUGGCCAAAAUGGCUUUUUUUCCUCUCGUUGAUGUGUUCAAGAGCUCCGUUGUUUGUUCCCUGCACUUUAAGUCCUCUGAAAAUUCACUCAAGCUGAGAUAGAGCAAUUAUGUGCAAUUUCAGCUCUUAAGCCCAUCUCCAGCAAUCACCAUGGAGAUAUUUAAAAUGUGGUUAGAGUCAAACAGCAGACACAGAAAGUGGUAAUAUGUUCCCCUUUCUGCUGACUGCUCUUUGUUCUCUUGAAGUUUAAGCAAUUUAUAAACAAAUACAUGCUUUCUCAAAUCCUUUCACUGAUUUAGAUGAAUUUUCCCCCACAUGGACUAAUGAGAAACAGUCACAACCGGAUGGCUUUAAAUUAUUGUAUUGUCUGUUUGGGACAAACAUUGAAUCCCUAAAUCCCUGUAGAGGUGUGUUAUUCCUGUGGUUUUCAGUUCUUAUUUGUAUUAGGGCCCAGCUGAAAAAGUCCCAGUGAGCCCCCCAUGUGUAAACUAUCUUUGACCAGUGAUCAGGAUCCUAUUCAGAGGACCGUAUCUCCUCCAUCUGCGGCAUGUCGACAGGCAUCCUCCUGCAUUCCAGUCCUUUUGUUUGCAGAGGUAGGGGAAGGACAUUAAUGAGUCUUCCAUUGAAUUAACAUCCUUGGAAAGUCCGCCUUGGGCUCACACCUGCUGCCUUUAAGCCGUUGGAAUCUCUACUCCAUCACUGUUGAGGAUGUGCUCCCUGGAAAAUAUGCAGGUUGCCAAAGGCCCUCAAGGUAGCGCAGCAUGCGUCGAGGAAACGGUGAAGAAUGUCAACCUGGACAUCGCCUCCACGUCCACCAGGACGGCCAAGAAUGCAGCCAUUGUUUCAAUGAAAACAGGCUCUUCAUCAUUGAUAUUGAGCACCUGUAGACUUAAUAUAUACUUUUGAACUCCA
Long non-coding RNA from Dicentrarchus labrax (European seabass), 13820 nucleotides. RefSeq lists it as uncharacterized. NCBI's taxonomy places the organism in Eukaryota, Metazoa, Chordata, Actinopteri, Moronidae. The transcript is spliced from 2 exons. The record is from RefSeq and is a predicted model, not a curated record.